RNAcentral lists this ribosomal RNA (458 nucleotides) under uncultured bacterium. Its description in RNAcentral is "partial 16S ribosomal RNA". It matches the Rfam family "Bacterial small subunit ribosomal RNA", at positions 338 to 795 of the family's 1533-position model. The record is from RNAcentral.
CCUACGGGUGGCAGCAGUGAGGAAUAUUGGUCAAUGGCCGGAAGGCUGAACCAGCCAUGCCGCGUGAAGGUCAGUGCCCUAUGGGCGUUAAACUUCUUUUGUGCGGGAGCAAUAAUGGUCACGUGUGGCCAGACGAGAGUACCGUACGAAUAAGCAUCGGCUAACUCCGUGCCAGCAGCCGCGGUAAUACGGGGGAUGCAAGCGUUAUCCGGAUUUAUUGGGUUUAAAGGGUGCGUAGGCGGUUUUUUAAGUUAGUGGUUAAACGUCGGGGCUUCACCUUGAUUUGCCAUUAAUACUGUAAGACUCGAGUUCAGACGAGGUAGGCGGAAUAAGUUAAGUAGCGGUGAAAUGCUUAGAUAUAACUUAGAACUCCGAUAGCGAAGGCAGCUUACCAGACUGCGACUGACGCUGAAGCACGAGAGCGUGGGUAGCGAACAGGAUUAGAUACCCUAGUAGUC